RNAcentral lists this non-coding RNA (124 nucleotides) under unclassified sequences. RNAcentral describes it as "Staphylococcus-1 RNA". It matches the Rfam family "Staphylococcus-1 RNA". From Rfam's summary of the family: Firmicute (1 example). Nearby to self-splicing intron genes The record is from Rfam by way of RNAcentral.
CUAGUGAAACUGACAGCUUUCCUAGAAAGCCGAUUAACCAAUCUUCUGUAAUGCUAUUAUGAGGAUUACCCCUUGAGGUUCAUAGCAGUAGGUCGUCCUACAGUUAAUCACAUGCUUUUGCUAG